GAGUUUGAUCGUGGCUCAGGAUGAACGCUGGCGGCGUGCUUAACACAUGCAAGUCGAACGAAGCGCCUUAUUUGAUUUUCUUCGGAACUGAAGAUUUGGUGACUGAGUGGCGGACGGGUGAGUAACGCGUGGGUAACCUGCCCUGUACAGGGGGAUAACAAUCAGAAAUGACUGCUAAUACCGCAUAAGACCACAGCACCGCAUGGUGCAGGGGUAAAAACUCCGGUGGUACAGGAUGGACCCGCGUCUGAUUAGCUGGUUGGUGAGGUAACGGCUCACCAAGGCGACGAUCAGUAGCCGGCUUGAGAGAGUGAACGGCCACAUUGGGACUGAGACACGGCCCAAACUCCUACGGGAGGCAGCAGUGGGGAAUAUUGCACAAUGGGGGAAACCCUGAUGCAGCAACGCCGCGUGAGUGAAGAAGUAUUUCGGUAUGUAAAGCUCUAUCAGCAGGGAAGAAAGUGACGGUACCUGACUAAGAAGCCCCGGCUAACUACGUGCCAGCCGCCGCCGUAAAG
RNAcentral lists this ribosomal RNA (518 nucleotides) under uncultured microorganism. RNAcentral describes it as "bacterial SSU rRNA". It matches the Rfam family "Bacterial small subunit ribosomal RNA", at positions 9 to 525 of the family's 1533-position model. The record is from RNAcentral.